Empidonax traillii (willow flycatcher) is the source of this 980-nucleotide long non-coding RNA. RefSeq lists it as uncharacterized. The record is from RefSeq and is a predicted model, not a curated record. NCBI's taxonomy places the organism in Eukaryota, Metazoa, Chordata, Aves, Passeriformes, Tyrannidae. The transcript is spliced from 4 exons.
AACUUUGUAGAAGAGAUUUAGUGCUGGAUUUUUUUUUUUCAUGUUCCUUCAAAAAGUGUGAUGUUAGAACACCAUAUUCAUGUCUUGUGGGCCUGAACACUUGAUGAUAUAAAAUACCUGACCCAAAUAUUUUUAUCAAGGAGUGAGCUUGAUAUUAAAAAAAAAAAUCCAUGGGAAAAAGCAGGUAAAUUGUUAUAAGGUUGAAUGGGAACACAAUGCUGAGGCAAAAUGAAAGGAGUGAUGGUGGGGAGUAAAAAAAGCUUCUCUUAUUCCAGGUGUGGAGUAAAGAGGGAGGAGAUUUACUGUGGAGAAAUAAAGACAUCUAAAGAAGUGGUGAGAAAGAGAUACUACUAUGGGCACACUAUAUAGUGCACAAACCAAAGCGUGAAAGGAAAGCUGACCUCAAAUCUGGGCUGCGGAUUAUUCCCCUCUAAGUCACAAAAUGAAGUAAUGGUUUUAAUUUUGUUUUGUUUUCUUUGCUUAAAUAAGCAGGAGGAUCAGCAGUGGAACAUUAAAUGUCAUGUGGAAGUGGUGCUGUCGAGCCUUUGGCUGAAGUUUCAUGAUCAGAAGUGAUACGUCAGAGACCCUGCACGAGACCACUCCACUCAUUAAAGACAAGGUGCUGGAGAGGAACCACAUCUGGCCCAGAGUCGAUAAACUAGAGACAUCCUGUGCCAGCAGCUUGCCCCUGUGACCUGCCAGAACUCCACUGAACUGAAGACUUUUUUCCUGUGGAUUAUCCAGCAGCUUCCUGCAACACAGUGGGAGGAAGGAACACAACCAAGUUUUCUUAGAAAGGACUCAGCUUUUCCAGGACUCCCUGCCUGGAGCUACUGGGAUACAGAUCAAGCCACUGACAGCUCUAAGUGGUCGUUAACAAACUCUCACCUGAUUUACUGAAGUUAUUCUCCAUGAAAUAGUUUGGAAAACCUGCUCACAAAAAUAAGUUGAGGUUCAAGUUUUCUUUUAAAGCACAGAAA